This is a non-coding RNA of Ictidomys tridecemlineatus (thirteen-lined ground squirrel), 475 nucleotides long. The record is from RefSeq and is a predicted model, not a curated record. Lineage: Eukaryota; Metazoa; Chordata; Mammalia; Rodentia; Sciuridae.
GAGAAAGGUGUGGAGUUCUGCUCCACAGAAACAGAAGAAUCAAGUAUAGUGUGGAGUCUUCUGGAGAGGUUACUGGAGCAAGAGUGAAGAGAUCAUAGGGUCAUUGAAGAGCUCCUUUAAGAAGAAGAAAAAGAUCUUUGUUGAACCAUGUCAGUCCAAGGUGGCUGAUGUUACAUCAGGAUCAUAACUGUUUUGAUUUAAUCUACAUUUCAGCAGUCAUUCUUCAUUGAACCAGAAGUUGUGCUGCAUGACCAUACUUGUGCACAUACCCUAGGCUUUCUACAGACCCAAUCUAAGAGUACAGCAGCUGACAGGGGCCUCACUUGUUUCUUCUUUAAUUGUUGACUUUUCCCACUGCAAGUGUCAUCUCAGAUGAUCCUUAAACUUACACAUUCUGAAGCUAUCACAAAGUGUUAUCAGAUAUAGCAAAUAAAAUAAAAGAUGCUCAGGUGAGUUUGAAUUUAAAAAAGAAACA